This 2927-nucleotide ribosomal RNA is filed under the name Salmonella enterica subsp. enterica serovar Goldcoast. RNAcentral's name for it is "23S ribosomal RNA". It matches the Rfam family "Bacterial large subunit ribosomal RNA". The record is from RNAcentral. Lineage: Bacteria; Pseudomonadati; Pseudomonadota; Gammaproteobacteria; Enterobacterales; Enterobacteriaceae.
GGGUUGUGAGGUUAAGCGACUAAGCGUACACGGUGGAUGCCCUGGCAGUCAGAGGCGAUGAAGGACGUGCUAAUCUGCGAUAAGCGCCGGUAAGGUGAUAUGAACCGUUAUAACCGGCGAUUUCCGAAUGGGGAAACCCAGUGUGAUUCGUCACACUAUCAUUAACUGAAUCCAUAGGUUAAUGAGGCGAACCGGGGGAACUGAAACAUCUAAGUACCCCGAGGAAAAGAAAUCAACCGAGAUUCCCCCAGUAGCGGCGAGCGAACGGGGAGGAGCCCAGAGCCUGAAUCAGCAUGUGUGUUAGUGGAAGCGUCUGGAAAGGCGCGCGAUACAGGGUGACAGCCCCGUACACAAAAGCGCAUGUGCUGUGAGCUCGAUGAGUAGGGCGGGACACGUGGUAUCCUGUCUGAAUAUGGGGGGACCAUCCUCCAAGGCUAAAUACUCCUGACUGACCGAUAGUGAACCAGUACCGUGAGGGAAAGGCGAAAAGAACCCCGGCGAGGGGAGUGAAAAAGAACCUGAAACCGUGUACGUACAAGCAGUGGGAGCACCCUUUGGGGUGUGACUGCGUACCUUUUGUAUAAUGGGUCAGCGACUUAUAUUCUGUAGCAAGGUUAACCGUAUAGGGGAGCCGCAGGGAAACCGAGUCUUAACCGGGCGUUAAGUUGCAGGGUAUAGACCCGAAACCCGGUGAUCUAGCCAUGGGCAGGUUGAAGGUUGGGUAACACUAACUGGAGGACCGAACCGACUAAUGUUGAAAAAUUAGCGGAUGACCUGUGGCUGGGGGUGAAAGGCCAAUCAAACCGGGAGAUAGCUGGUUCUCCCCGAAAGCUAUUUAGGUAGCGCCUCGUGAAUUCAUCUCCGGGGGUAGAGCACUGUUUCGGCUAGGGGGCCAUCCCGGCUUACCAACCCGAUGCAAACUGCGAAUACCGGAGAAUGUUAUCACGGGAGACACACGGCGGGUGCUAACGUCCGUCGUGAAGAGGGAAACAACCCAGACCGCCAGCUAAGGUCCCAAAGUCAUGGUUAAGUGGGAAACGAUGUGGGAAGGCCCAGACAGCCAGGAUGUUGGCUUAGAAGCAGCCAUCAUUUAAAGAAAGCGUAAUAGCUCACUGGUCGAGUCGGCCUGCGCGGAAGAUGUAACGGGGCUAAACCAUGCACCGAAGCUGCGGCAGCGACACUGAGGUGUUGUUGGGUAGGGGAGCGUUCUGUAAGCCUGUGAAGGUGGCCUGUGAGGGUUGCUGGAGGUAUCAGAAGUGCGAAUGCUGACAUAAGUAACGAUAAAGCGGGUGAAAAGCCCGCUCGCCGGAAGACCAAGGGUUCCUGUCCAACGUUAAUCGGGGCAGGGUGAGUCGACCCCUAAGGCGAGGCCGAAAGGCGUAGUCGAUGGGAAACGGGUUAAUAUUCCCGUACUUGGUGUUACUGCGAAGGGGGGACGGAGAAGGCUAUGUUGGCCGGGCGACGGUUGUCCCGGUUUAAGCGUGUAGGUGUGUGUUCCAGGUAAAUCCGGUUCACUUUAACACUGAGGCGUGAUGACGAGGCACUACGGUGCUGAAGCAACAAAUGCCCUGCUUCCAGGAAAAGCCUCUAAGCAUCAGGUAACAUCAAAUCGUACCCCAAACCGACACAGGUGGUCAGGUAGAGAAUACCAAGGCGCUUGAGAGAACUCGGGUGAAGGAACUAGGCAAAAUGGUGCCGUAACUUCGGGAGAAGGCACGCUGACACGUAGGUGAAGUGAUUUACUCACGGAGCUGAAGUCAGUCGAAGAUACCAGCUGGCUGCAACUGUUUAUUAAAAACACAGCACUGUGCAAACACGAAAGUGGACGUAUACGGUGUGACGCCUGCCCGGUGCCGGAAGGUUAAUUGAUGGGGUCAGCGCAAGCGAAGCUCCUGAUCGAAGCCCCGGUAAACGGCGGCCGUAACUAUAACGGUCCUAAGGUAGCGAAAUUCCUUGUCGGGUAAGUUCCGACCUGCACGAAUGGCGUAAUGAUGGCCAGGCUGUCUCCACCCGAGACUCAGUGAAAUUGAACUCGCUGUGAAGAUGCAGUGUACCCGCGGCAAGACGGAAAGACCCCGUGAACCUUUACUAUAGCUUGACACUGAACAUUGAGCCUUGAUGUGUAGGAUAGGUGGGAGGCUUUGAAGUGUGGACGCCAGUCUGCAUGGAGCCGACCUUGAAAUACCACCCUUUAAUGUUUGAUGUUCUAACGUGGACCCGUAAUCCGGGUUGCGGACAGUGUCUGGUGGGUAGUUUGACUGGGGCGGUCUCCUCCUAAAGAGUAACGGAGGAGCACGAAGGUUGGCUAAUCCUGGUCGGACAUCAGGAGGUUAGUGCAAUGGCAUAAGCCAGCUUGACUGCGAGCGUGACGGCGCGAGCAGGUGCGAAAGCAGGUCAUAGUGAUCCGGUGGUUCUGAAUGGAAGGGCCAUCGCUCAACGGAUAAAAGGUACUCCGGGGAUAACAGGCUGAUACCGCCCAAGAGUUCAUAUCGACGGCGGUGUUUGGCACCUCGAUGUCGGCUCAUCACAUCCUGGGGCUGAAGUAGGUCCCAAGGGUAUGGCUGUUCGCCAUUUAAAGUGGUACGCGAGCUGGGUUUAGAACGUCGUGAGACAGUUCGGUCCCUAUCUGCCGUGGGCGCUGGAGAACUGAGGGGGGCUGCUCCUAGUACGAGAGGACCGGAGUGGACGCAUCACUGGUGUUCGGGUUGUCAUGCCAAUGGCACUGCCCGGUAGCUAAAUGCGGAAGAGAUAAGUGCUGAAAGCAUCUAAGCACGAAACUUGCCCCGAGAUGAGUUCUCCCUGAGACUUAGAGUCUCCUGAAGGAACGUUGAAGACGACGACGUUGAUAGGCCGGGUGUGUAAGCGCAGCGAUGCGUUGAGCUAACCGGUACUAAUGAACCGUGAGGCUUAACCUUACAACGCCGAAG